RNAcentral lists this ribosomal RNA (483 nucleotides) under uncultured bacterium. RNAcentral describes it as "partial 16S ribosomal RNA". It matches the Rfam family "Bacterial small subunit ribosomal RNA", at positions 28 to 507 of the family's 1533-position model. The record is from RNAcentral.
GACGAACGCUGGCGGCGUGCUUAACACAUGCAAGUCGAACGCUGAAGCUCAGCUUUUGUUGGGUGGAUGAGUGGCGAACGGGUGAGUAACACGUGAGUAACCUGCCUCCUUCUUUGGGAUAACGCCCGGAAACGGGUGCUAAUACUGGAUAUUCACUGGUCUUCGCAUGGGGGUUGGUGGAAAGGGUUUUUCUGGUGGGGGAUGGGCUCGCGGCCUAUCAGCUUGUUGGUGGGGUGAUGGCCUACCAAGGCUUUGACGGGUAGCCGGCCUGAGAGGGUGACCGGUCACAGUGGGACUGAGAUACGGCCCAGACUCCUACGGGAGGCAGCAGUGGGGAAUAAUGCACAAUGGGCGCAAGCCUGAUGCAGCGACGCCGCGUGAGGGAUGGAGGCCUUCGGGUUGUGAACCUCUUUCGCUCAUGGUCAAGCCGCAACAAUGGUUGUGGUGAGGGUAGUGGGUAAAGAAGCGCCGGCUAACUACGUG